GCCUCUGAUGAUGAUGAAUUUUUUUACUUUCGUUCUUCUGAAUUUCCUAUGUGGAAAAAAUAUGGAGACCUGAACUGAGAUGU
This 83-nucleotide small nucleolar RNA is filed under the name Phaseolus vulgaris (common bean). RNAcentral describes it as "snoRNA snoZ159". It matches the Rfam family "Small nucleolar RNA Z159/U59". Rfam says of the family: This family consists of several snoRNA Z159 or U59 sequences which are members of the C/D class of snoRNA which contain the C (UGAUGA) and D (CUGA) box motifs. This family seems to be found exclusively in rice. C/D box small nucleolar RNAs are known to act as a methylation guides for 18S ribosomal RNA in plants. The record is from Rfam by way of RNAcentral. Lineage: Eukaryota; Viridiplantae; Streptophyta; Magnoliopsida; Fabales; Fabaceae.